RNAcentral lists this ribosomal RNA (452 nucleotides) under uncultured bacterium. RNAcentral describes it as "bacterial SSU rRNA". It matches the Rfam family "Bacterial small subunit ribosomal RNA", at positions 8 to 507 of the family's 1533-position model. The record is from RNAcentral.
AGAGUUUGAUCCUGGCUCAGAACGAACGCUGGCGGCAUGCCUAACACAUGCAAGUCGAACGAGACCUUCGGGUCUAGUGGCGCACGGGUGCGUAACGCGUGGGAAUCUGCCCUUGGUUCGGAAUAACAGCGAGAAAUUGCUGCUAAUACCGGAUGAUGACGUAAGUCCAAAGAUUUAUCGCCCAAGGAUGAGCCCGCGUAGGAUUAGCUAGUUGGUGAGGUAAAGGCUCACCAAGGCGACGAUCCUUAGCUGGUCUGAGAGGAUGAUCAGCCACACUGGGACUGAGACACGGCCCAGACUCCUACGGGAGGCAGCAGUGGGGAAUAUUGGACAAUGGGCGAAAGCCUGAUCCAGCAAUGCCGCGUGAGUGAUGAAGGCCUUAGGGUUGUAAAGCUCUUUUACCCGGGAUGAUAAUGACAGUACCGGGAGAAUAAGCUCCGGCUAACUCCGUG